UGAAAUCUGAACUUUUGUUUCUGUGA
This 26-nucleotide non-coding RNA is filed under the name Mus musculus (house mouse). The record is from RNAcentral. Lineage: Eukaryota; Metazoa; Chordata; Mammalia; Rodentia; Muridae.